UACGUAGGGGCUAGCGUUAUCCGGAUUUACUGGGCGUAAAGGGUGCGUAGGUGGUUUCUUAAGUCAGAGGUGAAAGGCUACGGCUCAACCGUAGUAAGCCUUUGAAACUGGGAAACUUGAGUGCAGGAGAGGAGAGUGGAAUUCCUAGUGUAGCGGUGAAAUGCGUAGAUAUUAGGAUGAACACCAGUUGCGAAGGCGGCUCUCUGGACUGUAACUGACACUGAGGCGCGAAAGCGUGGGGAGCAAACAGGAUUAGAUACCCGUGUAGUCCCUGAG
This 276-nucleotide ribosomal RNA is filed under the name uncultured prokaryote. RNAcentral describes it as "partial 16S ribosomal RNA". It matches the Rfam family "Bacterial small subunit ribosomal RNA", at positions 524 to 801 of the family's 1533-position model. The record is from RNAcentral.